RNAcentral lists this ribosomal RNA (253 nucleotides) under uncultured bacterium. RNAcentral's name for it is "partial 16S ribosomal RNA". It matches the Rfam family "Bacterial small subunit ribosomal RNA", at positions 524 to 776 of the family's 1533-position model. The record is from RNAcentral.
UACGUAGGGUGCGCGCGUUGUCCGGAAUUACUGGGCGUAAAGAGCUCGUAGGUGGUUUGUCGCGUUGUUCGUGAAAUCUCACGGCUUAACUGUGAGCGUGCGGGCGAUACGGGCAGACUAGAGUACUGCAGGGGAGACUGGAAUUCCUGGUGUAGCGGUGGAAUGCGCAGAUAUCAGGAGGAACACCGGUGGAGAAGGCGGGACUCGGGGCAGUAAUUGACGAUGUGGAGCGAAAGCGUGGGGAGCGAACAGG